CUGCAUGGCCCAAUGGACAUCCACAAUAACCUUGUGGCUAAUACACGCAAGCAGAUGUCUGCCACAUCAUGUGGGGUUAGCUCUGCUGGCCUCACAGUGGUGGACUGCACACAGCUCCUGAAAGACCAGUGUCAUUCCAAUGACAGUGUUGACUUGGUGAAUCAGGCUGUUCCAAAGGGACAUAGCACUGGCAGCUAAGAAGCCUGUUUACAGGCAUGCUUGAUCACAUGAACUUCUGACCUAUCAGCUUUGACUGUGGUGCAGUGGACCACAGUGGCCUUGACGGGUAACGGAGAAUCAGGGUUCGAUUCCGGAGAGGGAGCCUGAGAGACGGCUACCACUACCAAGGUGGGCAGCAGGCGCGCAAAUUGCCCAAUACAAAACCAGUUUGUGAGGCAGCAACGAACUGCAGCAAUCAUGCCCACUCUAGUGGGUUUGACUUGGAAUGGAUGCUAUCCAAACACAGCCAUGAGCAACAAGUGGAGGGCAAGUCUGGUGCCAGCAGCUGCGGUAAUUCCAGCUCCACAGGCGUAUACUAACAUUGCUGCUGUUAAAACACUCGUAGUCUGCCACAGGGAUUCAGGUCUGGCAGAUGGCUGGCUGGUGGUGACUUGUCACUGCUGGCUGGGUAAAACCUCUGUCAGUAUGUUCCUGAUCCCACUCCUGGAUGCUGAAAUGCUCCUGCAUGAAGCCCUCUUCAGUGAGGGUCAAAGCUAUCUUGCAGCCAACGCAUGUCUGGGCAAUCAAGGGCAGGCCUUGUGCCUUUGCUACCACAGCCUUGGCCCAUAUUCGGAGUUCAGCAUCAGAGCAACCCUGGUAAACUCAGUGUGCUUCAAGCAACCUUCAAUGGCUUGCAUGCCAUCCAGUGAAUUGCAAAGCAUCGAUCGAGCUUGGCUGAGAGUUGUGCUGGCCUUGGUGCCAACUUCGAGCAAUGUGGGAUGCAUCCCUGGCUGGGUGCUUGCCUUCGGGCUUGCGUCCCUGUCCAGGUGGUGUGUCACCAAACGGACAUGAUGGAAGUGUUCAGAGUGGAAGGUAUUGCAACGCCAGAGGUGAAAUUCUUAGACCGCUGCAAGACCAACUGCAGCGAAGGCGUUCUGCAAGAGCACGUUCGUCGAUCAAGAAUGAGAGUGUGGGGAGCAAAGAUGAUUAGACACCGUCGUAGUCCACUACAGUAAACUAUGCCAGCAAGGCUUUGGUGAAGCAAGAUCAUGUACUCCAUCAGUGCCAUGCCCCCUACAAAGAGAAAUCCACAGCCUGUGGGUUCAGGGGGGAGUACUGUCGCAAGGCAGAAACUUAAAGGAAUUGACGGAAUGGCACCACAAGGCGUGGAAUAUGCGGCUUAAUUUGACUCAACACGGGGAAUGUUACCAGGUCAGGACACUGUCAGGAUGGACAGAUUGAGAGCUCUUUCUUGAUCCAGUGGAUGGUGGUGCAUGGCCGCUCCUGAUCGGUGGAGUGAUUUGUCUGGUUGAUUCCGAUAACGGGUGAGAUAUCUGCCUUCCAAUAGCCCCAGUCACGCAUCUGUAGGGAUGCCUUCAGGUGAAGCUUCUGUGGAUCCUGUUGGUGCCUGAGUGACAUGGGUUCAGCUUCUCUGAGGUGCUGUGUCAGCCACCAAUGGCACGCAUGCUAGAGCCAACAGCAGGUCUGUGAUGCUCCCAGAUGUCCUGGGCCGCACGCGCAUUACAUUGACACAGUGAAGGUGUUAAGCUUCCUUGUGAAGCCCA
Molecule: ribosomal RNA, 1724 nt
Filed under: Trachelomonas globularis
Lineage: Eukaryota; Euglenozoa; Euglenophyceae; Euglenales; Euglenaceae
Description: SSU rRNA
Rfam family: Eukaryotic small subunit ribosomal RNA
Source: RNAcentral